CUCCUAAAGUGUAACGGAGGCGCCCAAAGGUUCCCUCAGCCUGGUUGGCAAUCAGGUGGUGAGUGUAAGUGCACAAGGGAGCUUGACUGUGAGACUGACAGGUCGAGCAGGGACGAAAGUCGGGACUAGUGAUCCGGCACCUACUUGUGGAAGUGGUGUCGCUCAACGGAUAAAAGGUACCCCGGGGAUAACAGGCUGAUCUUCCCCAAGAGUCCAUAUCGACGGGAUGGUUUGGCACCUCGAUGUCGGCUCGUCGCAUCCUGGGGCUGGAGUAGGUCCCAAGGGUUGGGCUGUUCGCCCAUUAAAGCGGCACGCGAGCUGGGUUUAGAACGUCGUGAGACAGUUCGGUCUCUAUCCGCGCGCGCGUUGAAACUUGAAGAAGGCUGUCCCUAGUACGAGAGGACCGGGACGGACGUACCUCUAGUGUGCCAGUUGUCACGCCAGUGGCAGGGCUGGU
Molecule: ribosomal RNA, 457 nt
Filed under: Corynebacterium diphtheriae
Lineage: Bacteria; Bacillati; Actinomycetota; Actinomycetes; Mycobacteriales; Corynebacteriaceae
Description: bacterial LSU rRNA
Rfam family: Bacterial large subunit ribosomal RNA
Source: RNAcentral